ACUGGUAUGAAUGGCUAAACGAGAAAUCUUCUUUUUUUAUUAUAAAUAUGGAAUUUAUUUUCUUAGUGAAAAAACUAAGAUAUUCCUGAAAGACGAGAAGACCCUAUAGAGUUUUAUACAGUAAGUCAUCAUAUUGCAUUAGAUUUGGGCCGGUAUGAUUUUAUUCUGUAAUUUGUUGGGGCGACAUUAAGAUAAAAAAAACUCUUUUUUAUAUAAACUUUGAUAAAUGAAUAAUUUGAUCCUUUAAAAAAGAUAAUAAGAUAAAAUUACCUUAGGGAUAACAGCGUAAUCUUUUUUGAGAGUUCUAAUCGACAAAAAGGUUUGCGACCUCGAUGUUGGACUAAAAUUUAGAUGUGGUGCAGCAGCUACAUUUUAGGGUCUGUUCGACCCAUAAUAUUUUACAUGAUCUGAGUUCAGACCGGCGUGAGCCAGGUUGGU
RNAcentral lists this ribosomal RNA (438 nucleotides) under Chthamalus dalli. RNAcentral describes it as "partial 16S ribosomal RNA". It matches the Rfam family "Bacterial large subunit ribosomal RNA", at positions 1986 to 2635 of the family's 2925-position model. Lineage: Eukaryota; Metazoa; Arthropoda; Thecostraca; Balanomorpha; Chthamalidae. The record is from RNAcentral.